Long non-coding RNA from Phyllostomus discolor (pale spear-nosed bat), 456 nucleotides. RefSeq lists it as uncharacterized. The record is from RefSeq and is a predicted model, not a curated record. The transcript has 2 exons. NCBI's taxonomy places the organism in Eukaryota, Metazoa, Chordata, Mammalia, Chiroptera, Phyllostomidae.
AAGCAGGAAGACCCUGAUGGGGGUGCAGAGAAAGUAUGAGGAGCUGUAGGAAGGCAGUUCCCUCAAACGAGACCAACAUUGCUGUGCUUCCAUGUGUAAAUUCAACACCAGGACAACUGCAGAAAGGCAUCAUGAUAAUGACGAAUUUCUGGCUUAGUAGAUGAAGAAUCUGAUAUUCAAAGUAACUGAGUGGCUUCUUCAAGAAACCCACAACAUUUCAGGACCCAGUUCCCUGCCUUCCUGACCAGUUUAGACUACCUGAAAAAUGCAUUAAGAAAAGGAAAAAAAAUGACUAAAAUCAUUUAAUAGGUUUAAUUAUUAGCCUUUAAUAUACACCAUUACAGACACCAUUACACCAUUAUCUGAGGUUGAUCUGGUCUGGUAAGCAUGCAAAGAGAAUGUUUUAAUAGUUGAGAGUUCUGUAAAUGUUUUAUUGUAAAAAAGUAAUCCAAGUCU